UAUAUAUAUAUAUAGGCUACUAAAGAUAUCAAUAAUUAGAGGAGUUGCAAGCAAAGCCCCAGAAUAGGAAAGAGUAAUGGCAACUUCUUUCAAAUUCAUUGAUAAGUAAGGAAAUCAAUAGACAUCUGCACAAUGCAUAAAGCAGCAAGUACAAAGGGUAAAAUUUUGAUAGCUUAUCAUAUGUUUCAUCAGAUAAGGAAUUUACUCCCAUGGAAUGGGGUAAUAAUUGGAAGGAGUAAGGUGAUCAAGUGCAGAAUAACAAUGCUGAUCACAAGUAGUAGAAAAGGAAAGAAAUAAGCAUCAGAAUAAUAUCCUACC
RNAcentral lists this unclassified non-coding RNA (318 nucleotides) under Hevea brasiliensis (rubber tree). The record is from RNAcentral. Lineage: Eukaryota; Viridiplantae; Streptophyta; Magnoliopsida; Malpighiales; Euphorbiaceae.